Molecule: ribosomal RNA, 443 nt
Filed under: uncultured bacterium
Lineage: Bacteria
Description: partial 16S ribosomal RNA
Rfam family: Bacterial small subunit ribosomal RNA
Source: RNAcentral
CCUACGGGGUGCUGCAGAGAGGAAUAUUGGUCAAUGGACGAGAGUCUGAACCAGCGACGCCGCGUGAGUGAAGAAGUAUUUCGGUAUGUAAAGCUCUAUCAGCAGGGAAGAAAGAAAUGACGGUACCUGAGUAAGAAGCCCCGGCUAACUACGUGCCAGCAGCCGCGGUAAUACGUAGGGGGCAAGCGUUAUCCGGAAUUACUGGGUGUAAAGGGAGCGUAGACGGUAAUGCAAGUCUGGAGUGAAAGGCGGGGGCCCAACCCCCGGACUGCUCUGGAAACUGUGUAACUGGAGUGCAGGAGAGGCAGGCGGAAUUCCUAGUGUAGCGGUGAAAUGCGUAGAUAUUAGGAGGAACACCAGUGGCGAAGGCGGCCUGCUGGACUGUAACUGACGUUGAGGCUCGAAAGCGUGGGGAGCAAACAGGAUUAGAUACCCCUGUAGUC